This 252-nucleotide ribosomal RNA is filed under the name uncultured bacterium. RNAcentral's name for it is "partial 16S ribosomal RNA". It matches the Rfam family "Bacterial small subunit ribosomal RNA", at positions 524 to 776 of the family's 1533-position model. The record is from RNAcentral.
UACGUAGGGGCAAGCGUUGUCCGGAUUUAUUGGGCGUAAAGAGCGUGUAGGCGGCCAUUCAGGUCAGCUGUGAAAACUCGAGGCUCAACCUCGAGACGUCGGUUGAAACCGUUUGGCUAGAGUCCGGAAGAGGAGAGUGGAAUUCCCGGUGUAGCGGUGAAAUGCGCAGAUAUCAGGAGGAACACCAAUGGCGAAGGCAGAUCUCUGGGCCGUAACUGACGCUGAGGAGCGAAAGCAUGGGGAGCGAACAGG